UAACACAUGUCAAGUCGAACGAAGCCUUCGGGCUUAGUGGCGCACGGGUGCGUAACGCGUGGGAAUCUGCCCUUGGGUUCGGAAUAACAGUGAGAAAUUACUGCUAAUACCGGAUGAUGUCUUCGGACCAAAGAUUUAUCGCCCAAGGAUGAGCCCGCGUUAGAUUAGCUAGUUGGUGGGGUAAUGGCCUACCAAGGCGACGAUCUAUAGCUGGUCUGUAGAGGAUGAUCAGCCACACUGGGACUGAGACACGGCCCAGACUCCUACGGGAGGCAGCAGUGGGGAAUAUUGGACAAUGGGCGAAAGCCUGAUCCAGCAAUGCCGCGUGAGUGAUGAAGGCCUUAGGGUUGUAAAGCUCUUUUACCAGGGAUGAUAAUGACAGUACCUGGAGAAUAAGCUCCGGCUAACUCCGUGCCAGCAGCCGCGGUAAUACGGAGGGAGCUAGCGUUGUUCGGAAUUACUGGGCGUAAAGCGCGCGUAGGCGGUUUUUCAAGUCAGAGGUGAAAGCCCGGGGCUCAACCCCGGAACUGCCUUUGAACUGGAUGACUAGAAUCUUGGAGAGGCGAGUGGAAUUCCGAGUUGUAGAGGUGAAAUUCGUAGAUAUUCGGAAGACACCAGUGGCGAAGCGACUCGCUGGACAAGUAUUGACGCUGAGGUGCGAAGUGUG
This 667-nucleotide ribosomal RNA is filed under the name Sphingomonas sp. GPM2544. Its description in RNAcentral is "bacterial SSU rRNA". It matches the Rfam family "Bacterial small subunit ribosomal RNA", at positions 49 to 763 of the family's 1533-position model. Lineage: Bacteria; Pseudomonadati; Pseudomonadota; Alphaproteobacteria; Sphingomonadales; Sphingomonadaceae. The record is from RNAcentral.